RNAcentral lists this ribosomal RNA (552 nucleotides) under uncultured Actinomycetes bacterium. Its description in RNAcentral is "bacterial SSU rRNA". It matches the Rfam family "Bacterial small subunit ribosomal RNA", at positions 254 to 819 of the family's 1533-position model. The record is from RNAcentral. Lineage: Bacteria; Bacillati; Actinomycetota; Actinomycetes.
GGGGUGAUGGCCUACCAAGCGACAACGGGUAGCCGGCCUGAGAGGGCGACCGGCCACACUGGGACUGAGACACGGCCCAGACUCCUACGGGAGGCAGCAGUGGGGAAUAUUGCACAAUGGGCGCAAGCCUGAUGCAGCGACGCCGCGUGAGGGAUGACGGCCUUCGGGUUGUAAACCUCUUUCAGCAGGGACGAAGCGAAAGUGACGGUACCUGCAGAAGAAGCGCCGGCCAACUACGUGCCAGCAGCCGCGGUAAGACGUAGGGCGCGAGCGUUGUCCGGAUUUAUUGGGCGUAAAGAGCUCGUAGGCGGCUUGUUGCGUCGGCUGUGAAAACCCAUGGCUCAACCGUGGGCUUGCAGCCGAUACGGGCAGGCUAGAGUUCGGUAGGGGAGACUGGAAUUCCUGGUGUAGCGGUGAAAUGCGCAGAUAUCAGGAGGAACACCGGUGGCGAAGGCGGGUCUCUGGGCCGAUACUGACGCUGAGGAGCGAAAGCGUGGGGAGCGAACAAGAUUAGAUACCCUGGUAGUCCACGCUGUAAACGUUGGGCGCUAG